Long non-coding RNA from Neodiprion virginianus, 836 nucleotides. RefSeq lists it as uncharacterized. The transcript is spliced from 3 exons. NCBI's taxonomy places the organism in Eukaryota, Metazoa, Arthropoda, Insecta, Hymenoptera, Diprionidae. The record is from RefSeq and is a predicted model, not a curated record.
UGAACUCAUGAUGCGACGCGUUCGGUUUCUGGGGAAAACCGGAGAUCCUUGAGCGCAAAUUGCACACUUAUCACAUGUGCAAAUACGAAUAGAUGCCGGGGAUAAACAGAGGUAACUACAAACGGGUCAAACAUCAUCUUGAAAAACGACAAUUAUAAAAAUUGCGAAGAUUGUGGUCAUCGCACAACAGCUGCUGACGUGAGCUCAACCGAUAAACAACAAACGAUAAAAUUAACGUUACACUGUGAACCGUGUGCAGUGUACUGGACAUAUUAUCCAUUUAUUGGAGGGUGUUUAGCAAUAUGGCGUCGUCAAAAGUGAUCAGCUGAUCAUCGAUCCAGCUUAUUACACCAAUAUAGAGGCACUGAAGGAUUCUUACUGGCUUUCGGACUGCCGUUUUGAUACAUUGAGUCAAUUGUAAGUGAAAUAUUGGAUCCACAAUUCGGUUUAUCUGCAUGUGACGUUUUUCUUUGUUCACGGUUUAGUUAUUUAGUUCGUAUAUAACUUAUCCAACUAUGAGUAAGCGGAGGAUAGAUUAAUCACGAACAUAAUAAUACGUUGACGAAGAACAGAAAAGGCUAUAAAGUGGGAAGUUUCGAAAAUUUUGGAACAAAAUUGGUAUCUGGUAUAGGAAUUUGUUCAGAUGUCUUAAUUUUUUGCGACAAAACUGAAGAAAUAAACUGGUGAAAUCUGCACUAAGGUACAACGCAGUCGAGUACCCGGAAACAUGCCCUCAUGGUUGAAAAGGUGCGCAUGCUGACUUCAGCAUUGAAAAUGCUUGUACAAUGGAAAAACGGGUUCGGCUGGAAUCCCUAGUGGGAGGUUCAGGAAGAGAU